ACUCCUACGGGAGGCAGCAGUGGGGAAUAUUGCACAAUGGGCGCAAGCCUGAUGCAGCAACGCCGCGUGAGGGACGACGGCCUUCGGGUUGUAAACCUCUUUUAGUAGGAAGAAGCGAAAGUGACGGUACCUGCAGAAAAAGCACCGGCUAACUACGUGCCAGCAGCCGCGGUAAUACGUAGGGUGCAAGCGUUAUCCGGAAUUAUUGGGCGUAAAGAGCUCGUAGGCGGUUUGUCGCGUCUGCUGUGAAAACUGGAGGCUCAACCUCCAGCCUGCAGUGGGUACGGGCAAACUAGAGUGCGGUAGGGGAGAUUGGAAUUCCUGGUGUAGCGGUGGAAUGCGCAGAUAUCAGGAGGAACACCGAUGGCGAAGGCAGAUCUCUGGGCCGUAACUGACGCUGAGGAGCGAAAGCAUGGGGAGCGAACAGGAUUAGAUACCCUGGUAGUCCAUGCCGUAAACGUUGGGAACUAGAUGUGGGGGCCAUUCCACGGCUUCCGUGUCGCAGCUAACGCAUUAAGUUCCCCGCCUGGGGAGUACGGCCGCAAGGCUAAAACUCAAAGGAAUUGACGGGGGCCCGCACAAGCGGCGGAGCAUGCGGAUUAAUUCGAUGCAACGCGAAGAACCUUACCAAGGCUUGACAUAUACCUGAAAAGGCUGGAAACAGUCUCCCCGCAAGGCAGGUAUACAGGUGGUGCAUGGUUGUCGUCAGCUCGUGUCGUGAGAUGUUGGGUUAAGUCCCGCAACGAGCGCAACCCUCGUUCUAUGUUGCCAGCGCGUUAUGGCGGGAACUCAUAGGAGACUGCCGGGGUCAACUCGGA
This 818-nucleotide ribosomal RNA is filed under the name uncultured Actinomycetes bacterium. RNAcentral describes it as "bacterial SSU rRNA". It matches the Rfam family "Bacterial small subunit ribosomal RNA", at positions 335 to 1167 of the family's 1533-position model. Lineage: Bacteria; Bacillati; Actinomycetota; Actinomycetes. The record is from RNAcentral.